This 251-nucleotide ribosomal RNA is filed under the name uncultured bacterium. RNAcentral's name for it is "partial 16S ribosomal RNA". It matches the Rfam family "Bacterial small subunit ribosomal RNA", at positions 525 to 775 of the family's 1533-position model. The record is from RNAcentral.
ACGUAGGGAGCAAGCGUUGUCCGGAAUUACUGGGUGUAAAGGGAGUGUAGGCGGGAUGGUAAGUCAGAUGUGAAAUUUAUGGGCUCAACCCAUAACCUGCAUUUGAAACUGCUGUUCUUGAGUGAAGUAGAGGUUGGCGGAAUUCCUAGUGUAGCGGUGAAAUGCGUAGAUAUUAGGAGGAACAUCAGUGGCGAAGGCGGCCAACUGGGCUUUUACUGACGCUGAGGCUCGAAAGCGUGGGGAGCAAACAG